This is a long non-coding RNA of Cydia splendana, 595 nucleotides long. RefSeq lists it as uncharacterized. NCBI's taxonomy places the organism in Eukaryota, Metazoa, Arthropoda, Insecta, Lepidoptera, Tortricidae. The transcript has 3 exons. The record is from RefSeq and is a predicted model, not a curated record.
GUAUGCUUGUUUGCCAAUAAGUAGUAUAAAAAAAAGUCAUUCCACUGUUGUUAGUUUCAGUUUAAAAAUUAUUUGUUUCAUGUGCUCUAUUACUUAUUUUUGGUGCUUUGACAUAUCACAGGAUUUUCUGGUUAAUAUUCGUCGCAAUGUCCUGGUACGGGUCAUCUCUUCUUAUAGAAGCUCAGUACUACGCCUUCCAGAAUAAUCCUAUUUCUUUUGUGGUGGAAACUACGUACAAAGACUGGCAAACUCAUUUUCCAUCCGUGGCGGUCUGCGAACAUGAUAAUUCCGCACGUAUUGAACAUGUUUCUGAUAUGCUUUGGGGAGAAGAUCACGAUUUUAACAUGGAAGAAGUUUUAAAAGAACUGGCUUAUUUCAAAGGGAUAACUUAUUAUACGUCGCAAUUCUGUGGGUUAGAGGACCCAUUGCCAGACUGCGUCAAAAGCAACCUCAGUUACUACGCCAAUCUGGUUAGGACUCCUUGUGACGAGAUGUUGACCAACUGUUCUUGGAACGACCAACCCUUCGGUUGCUGUGCAUACUUCAGACCAUUGGACACAGAACUUGGCACAUGUUUUGCUGUUAAUACAAUACA